CUUACAGGGAUCUCCUUUCAAGCUUGAGAGGCAGUGUGGGAGAAAGCCCAAAGCUUGACAAUCUCCUCAUUUUAACUCUCUGAUGUGAAGGUUUGGAGUCGGUUGGGACACUGACCUGAGAAGGACUGGGGGUCAGAAAGUUCAUGGCCAUCACACUCACCCUCAGAUUAUAGUUCAUCAGGACUACUUGUGCCAGUUGAGAUCCAUCUGGAACAACACUGUGGAUAGUAAUCAAGGAUUACUGGCCUAAUGGAUAAGGGGAAGCCGUGGAAUGAUACAUACUGUCUUUAAAAAAAAAAAAAACUUAACAUGACUGUGGCUAUCCUGUAGUUCAGGCGUUGGCAACCUCUGGCAUGCAGCUCCCCAGGGUAAGCACCCUGGCAGGCCGGGACAGUUUGUUUGCCUGCUGCAUCCGCAGAUUCAGCCGAUCGUGGCUCCCACUGACCGCAAUUCACUGCUCCAGGCCAAUGGGGGUGGCGGGAAGCCGCGGCCAGCGCAUCCCUAGGCCCGCGCUGUUUUGGUACCAGCCUGACUCCACAGCAUCUCCUCCCCUGCAUAGAAGAAAGAAUGGGGAGGAGAGCAAAGUGUUUCCUUGUAAGGGGGAUAACCCUAAAGAUAUUGUUGUGCAGCACCUUUAAGGACAUUCAGCUGAAAAGACUAUUCCUUUCCCCCUCCCCCGCCACGCACCCUAGCUACCUCUCAGAAGAAUCAGGCAUGCUUUCUGUAUGUGUAGAACAUCUCAUCAUUAUCAACAAAGACUUGAGGAUGUGAGAAGAAGAGGAUUCACAGACUCUGCCCCCUGAGCAAGGAGUAGGGAUCUGGCUGUCUUGGAACCACUACCCAACAGGCCCUAAAACAAAAGUCCCAAGAUAAGGUGCACCUAUGGCUGUAGAGUCAGUAGAAUAUGGCGCUCCAGACAACUUCACACUGAAUUUCAAUGACAGGAUUUUCCAUUUAACCUAGAUUUUAAGCGAGGUUUGAGUGAGUGCUGUGGUGAAUGUUAUCAGUAAAAUCUGCAAAUUUAAAAGUCAUUUGAUUUUUUCCCAUGCUCUUUCUACUGCUACAGAGAAGUAAGAAAAAUUGAAAA
Molecule: long non-coding RNA, 1087 nt
Organism: Mauremys reevesii (Reeves's turtle)
Lineage: Eukaryota; Metazoa; Chordata; Testudines; Geoemydidae
Exons: 5
Source: RefSeq, a predicted model, not a curated record